CCUACGGGUGGCUGCAGUGAGGAAUAUUGGUCAAUGGGCGCGAGCCUGAACCAGCCAAGUAGCGUGAAGGAUGACUGCCCUACGGGUUGUAAAUUUCUUUUAUAAAGGAAUAAAGUGAGGCACGUGUGCCCUUAUGUAUGUACUUUAUGAACAAGGAACGGACAACUCCGCGCCAGCAGCCGCGGUAAUACGGAGGAUCCGAGCGUUAUCCGGAUUUAUUGGGUUUAAAGGGAGCGUAGGUGGGUUGUUAAGUCAGAUGUGAAAGUUUGGGGCUCAACCGUAAAAUUGCAAUUGAUACUGGCAGUCUUGAGUACAGUUGAGGUAGGCGGAAUUCGUGGUGUAGCGGUGAAAUGCGUAGAUAUCACGAAGAACUCCGGUUGCGAAGGCAGCUUACUGGACUGCCACUGACGUUGAGGCGCGAAAGUGUGGGUAUCAAACAGGAUUAGAUACCCCAGUAGUC
Molecule: ribosomal RNA, 460 nt
Filed under: uncultured bacterium
Lineage: Bacteria
Description: partial 16S ribosomal RNA
Rfam family: Bacterial small subunit ribosomal RNA
Source: RNAcentral